Microcebus murinus (gray mouse lemur) is the source of this 2759-nucleotide RNA transcript. It is a transcript of the gene named cyclin Y like 1, with no coding region annotated. Lineage: Eukaryota; Metazoa; Chordata; Mammalia; Primates; Cheirogaleidae. The record is from RefSeq and is a predicted model, not a curated record.
GUUGGCCAGUGCCGGCCAGGGCGAGCCGGCCUUCAGUUAGGAGGCGGCGGCGGAAGGAGGAGGAGCUCUGACCACGCUCUCUCCCGGCAGUGGCUGUGACUCUCGGCGCUUGUUGGGUCUCCACCCCUUUUAAAUAAGCCCGGCUGGUCGCCGCCCUCGCACACAAGUCAACUCGGGGGAGGCGGCGGCGGCGCGGCAGCGGGGGUGCGGCCGAGGCCGGAGCCCUGCCCGGGGCAGGGCGGCGGGGCGGGCGGGCGAGCAGCGGGCGAGGCCGCGUCUGCCAGCGCGGUGCAGCCCCGGCACAGCCCGGCGUAGCCCGGGGCUGCCCGUGCCGGCCGCGCCAUUGUUGGGGGAGGGGGCGGCUGUUCGGCGCGGCGGAGUCGGGGGCGAGCCGAGGCGCGGGCGGCGGGCAGCGGCAGAGCGGCGGAGGCGCCCCAUGGGGACCACGCUGAGCUGCUGCGUGUCCCCCAAUGCCAGCCCCAAGCUGGGCCGGCACACCCGGCCGGCGGAGCCAGACUACGAGUCUGAGAUCUACGAGGCGGUGGCCGCGGACACGGUGGCGGUAGCGCCGGCGCCCGCUGCCGUGGAGCCUGUGGAGUUGGAUUUCGGAGCCGGCGAGGGCCACCACCUGCAGCACAUCAGCGACCGCGAGAUGCCCGAAGAUUUAGCUUUGGAAUCAAAUCCUUCUGACCAUCCAAGGGCAAGCACAAUUUUCCUGAGCAAAUCUCAAACAGAUGUGCGAGAAAAGAGGAAGAGCAACCAUUUAAACCAUGUAUCUCCAGGGCAGCUUACUAAAAAGUAUAGCUCAUGCUCAACAAUAUUUCUAGAUGACAGCACAGUCAGCCAGCCUAAUCUUAGAACCACAGUAAAAUGUGUGACCUUAGCAAUAUAUUACCAUAUAAAGAACAGAGAUGCAAAUAGAUCACUGGAUAUUUUUGAUGAGAGGUCACAUCCACUCACACGAGAAAAGGUUCCAGAAGAGUACUUUAAGCAUGAUCCUGAACAUAAAUUUAUUUACAGAUUUGUCCGUACUCUUUUCAGUGCCGCACAGCUAACAGCUGAAUGUGCAAUAGUAACUUUGGUUUACUUAGAAAGGCUUUUAACUUAUGCUGAGAUCGACAUUUGUCCCACUAACUGGAAAAGAAUUGUUUUGGGAGCGAUUCUUCUUGCCUCCAAGGUUUGGGACGAUCAGGCUGUAUGGAAUGUGGACUACUGCCAGAUCCUCAAGGACAUUACAGUUGAGGACAUGAAUGAAAUGGAAAGGCAUUUUUUGGAGCUACUUCAGUUUAAUAUUAAUGUUCCUGCCAGUGUUUAUGCCAAAUACUACUUUGACCUCCGCUCCUUAGCAGAUGACAACAACAUGAAUUUUCUGUAUUCUCCUCUUAGCAAAGAAAGAGCGCAGAACCUAGAGGCCAUUUCCCGAUUGUGCGAAGAUAAAUACAAGGACUUGUGUAGAGCUGCUAUCAGAAGGUCUUUCAGUGCUGAUCAUUUCACUGGUAUUCGGCGCUCUAAUGCUGUCCUCUCCUAAAGGGAGAGGUGAGGGGUUAUAUCACCAUGAACCCUCACCUACAGAGACUGGAAAAAUACCGCCUCUCCUGCUCAAAAACCAGCAAAAGAUGAUCUCUUGCUACGUUACCUAGGUUGGAGUACAGAGGCUGUUCACAGGAAUCUUGCCUGUAAACAAAACAUUUCUGGGACAGGAAUACUUCCUCUCAAUACAGCAAUGCUUCACAUUACAUUGAGUGCUGCAGGUUCCAUCAUCUCUAAAGGACAAAGACAUAAAUGACAAAUAAUGGUAUAUAAAAUAUUACAAUCUACCACCUCAAAAAAACAUUGUUCAGAGCUUGGAGUUUCAAGUAUUGAUUGCAGUUUUAUUUUGAAAAGAAUGCUACAUUUACGUGGUUUUUAUUUCUCAUGUUUAUAUUAAAAGAAAGCUAAUAAACUCUAUUUUAAUUAAAAUAUGGCUAGUGUAUUUGUAACACUUCUAUUCAUAUAGCAUUACAUCUCUGCCUACCUUAAAUGUUUUAAGUCAGUCUUGAUAUAUCUUAAAGUAUUUUUAAACUGACCAUUUAUAACCUGAAGAUAACUUAUUACACUUAAAAAUCACUGGCCAAAAAAAAAAAAAAAAAAAAAAAAAUCAGUGGCCACAGUUCUUAGUGGCACAGUACAUUAAAUGACAUCUUUGAAUAGUUGGUUAUUGUGCCUAAGAGGGAAGAGCACAUUAGAAUUUAAAAUUAGGUAAAAUGUACCAAAGAGGAAGGAAUUACGGGACAAGUAUAGAAUUAGAACAAGAGGUAUUAGGGUUUUAGACAGUUAAACAGGAAAGAGAACAGAGGGACAAGAACUAGAAUUAGGGUUGCUGUACAGAGGGUAACUUAAAACAAGCCACAUAAUUUGACUUUAACAUGCUCUGUUCUUUUCUAAAGACACAGGGCUCUGUUGCCCAGGCUGGAGUGCAGUGGCUAUAGUCAUAGUUCACUGUAACCUCCAACUUCUGGGCCCAAGUGAUCCUCCCACCUUGGCCUCCCAAAGUACUGGGAUUACAGGUAUGAGCCACCGUGCCUGGCCAGCAUGCUGCUUUCAGACGUACGUUUUAGUUAAAAAUACCAAGUCCCUAUUAGGUUUCUUUAGAAAAAAGAAUCUAACCACUUAGCUUCAGCAAUUGUCACUAAAUCCUGACAGUGCCGCGUCGUCAGCCUAACUCACAGCAACCUCAAACUCCUGGGCUUAAGCAAUCCUUCUGCCUCAGCCUCCCUAGU